UUUGAGUGCUGCUACCAAGCAUCAGUUUGAUCUCUGUCUCAUUAACAGACCUUACUGAAGAUGUCAUUCGUUCAGGGUUAGUGGGAGGAAUAUUUAAUUAAUAUCCUUUGUGCAGUGGUAGUUGAGAUGGCAAGAAGCCACCAGCGAGGUGUGUGGGAAGAUGAGUCGGCAUUACGCUGUGCCUGGGAGGUGAAGGUUCUCACUCAGUGUGUGCUUGAAGGUCCCUUGUUGCUUGUCUUUGAGGCAGAAAGUGAAGACAGCCAGCGGAGAAGGAGGGAAGCCAUCAGUAGUAAUGCAGGGGAUUAUCUCCUCGAGAGAAAUGGGCAUCUUUCCAUUAUAAAUAAACAGUUUUCCAGCAAAAAAAUACUUAGCUUGAGUAAUCAGUUGCUCCAGCUGAAGCAACCAACUAAUUGCAAUAUUGGCUAGUAACUUCACCUAAACAAUGAGGUCAGCCUCUGUCCUGCACCCCCGCCCCUCCACACCUUGGUUAACCAAGAUCUGGGUGUAGAGCUGGAAUCUCAGCCUCUGUCAGGUCUCCGAGUCUGACACGACUCUGUUGUCUGGUUUCCUGCCAACUCCAGUUUUUGUGCUGAGGCUCUGUCAGGCUGUGUCCUAGUUUCAGAACAAUAUCUUCACUAUGUUUCAGUCCCCAAGGCCAAUAUCUACACCAGAUUUAAUUAAAACUGGGAACGCUAAUCAGCAGGUCUUCCUGGAACUGUGAGAUUUCUGAGACCUUGACUGCAGUCACCAUCCCACAGAUUUCAGGAUGCCGGAAAGUUUAACACGUACGCUCACUUAGACUGGGCUUGUCCAGGCCGUGGCAAGAGGAGCAAGCGUUGCGGUGCAGCGUGCUGCCACUCCUUCCUGUUCCAGGCUGGUGAAGGGAAUUCCGAAUUUGCUGACAAUUGAAUGAGCUGGAAAAGGUCCAAGCACAACAGCGGCCAUUCCCUCCUUCCAGCCAAUGCCGUGGCCGGCAGAACAGAUCCAACCUGCACACGACCUGCUCCUCUCUGACAUGUUAAUUUUCUUCCUUUUGAGACUUUGCAAGGUGCUGAAGCUGUGCUGUCUCUGUUUCUAUGUAACCUGCGGCAUGGAUUAUAACAUGUUCAACUAAAUCCUUAAAAAAUAAAAGCAGGUAUGUGUUAAUUACACAAAGACUUGGUUUUGUAUUUAACAGUGAACAAAUCAGAUAUACUUGCUAAAAUAAAAAAGGUGGAUUGCAGCACACAAAUUUAUUUUUAUAUCAUUUAUUUUUAAAGACUUACUCCAGUGAAGAAAAUACACGUCUUCGGGUUUUCAAUUAUUAUUACAGUAAGGCACUCUUAAAUUGCAUUUGGAAAUCAAAGCUUUCCCAUUGUCUAGUAAUCAAUGAAGUGACUUCCGAUAACAGUAUUCUGGACAGAAUAUUCUCCCCAAGCAAUUAUUCGAACUUCUGAAGCUACAGCAGAAACAUAUGCUAAUUGAAUGGUAGUUAAAUUUCAAAAGGAAGACAGUCCAUAUCUAGUUUCUGUCAGUGGCAUCUAUAUUAGCUUCAUUUAUAGACUCUUCAUUAUAUAAAAGUAGGAUACAACAGAAAUCCAGGCUGUGACUGCUGUCCUCUUGCUGCUGGCUCUGAAGAGCUGAGAAAAUGAAAGUAUGGGAAAUGGGAGAAAAUAUGACCUCCAGGCAACAACACCUGGUGCAAAGGUUGCUAAAAGUCAGUGCGAGUCUGGUGAUUGCAGAACUUUGGAGAUUUUUUUAUAGAGUGAAAAAAUUCCACAUUUCUAUUAUACAAAGUGUAACAGAAAUCACAAAAUAUAUUGAUUUUAAAAUGCCCUCUCAAAUAUAAAAGUAAACCAGACUUGUGUUAGAGGGUUAUCUCAAACUCCAGCUCUCACUCUUUGAUACACUUUCUCUCUAAGGCUUACCGAGGAGCAAAAUAAAAAUUCUCAGAACAGUUCUUACCAUAUUAGUUCUGCUAUUCUUCCAUAUUCCUCAUAGGUCUCAUUUCUAAAAGGAGAAACAACUUUCUCGUGUUUUAGGAUAAUAAGCUGGGAGCUGUUCUGGGGCAUGGUGCUCAAUCAGAAAUGACUCUCCCAGCCUGGGGAAACUUUCUGAAACUUUUUAUUUGUCUAAUGUGGAAAAAAACAAUCACAUCACUUGAGGUAGCCUAGUUUUGCUGAGCAAGCAGAUCUUGCAGCUCCUUCUCCAGGCCAUGGCUGCUCAGGUCCGUUAAGCUGUAGUAUCUGUGAACAAUCUUCUCAGCCGUGACAACCACCACGCGAAGCCCGUGUGUGUCUUCUCCCAGCUGACAUCCUAUUGCUGAUGAAACCACCAUCUCCAGUCCUUUGUAGGACCCUCCCGCAUUCCUGUGGUAAUGUCCAGAAAAUACAGCUUUAAUGCCUGUUUAGAAAGAAAAAAGAGAGUAUGUUUUUAGUUAGCAGUUGCAGUUUAUGUAUAAAACAAGUUCACAGUUAAAGAUACUGCUGAGGUUAUAUGCUGAGGGUUGGAGAGAAAGUUCUAGAGCAAGUACAGCUACAGGUGUCAUGUUUACCUUCAUUCUUCAGUGGUUCAUAAAGCAUAAAAUUAUAAGUAAACCAUUUACCUGAACUUGCACUUUAAACAAAUAAUUAGUAAAAUAGUAGUAAAUAAUACCUAAUUAGUAAAACCUUUAUUCUGUUCCACUAGCUCUGGUUACUGCACUCUGACUCGCUGAGGCUUACUGAAAAGUGUGGUUGUCAUCCUGCUCCUCCUUUGGCUACAAAGCAGGAACACUCGAGAGGAACCUGAUUAAAGUUAGAAAAAACGUCCAGUAACAGAUAACUGCCUAAAGAAUGAUGCUACCGAAACAUGAGUGGAAAGCCAAGGAGUGUGGAGCUGUGUUUGUCAGUUAACAUGCAGAAAAUUCACUAAUGAGACCUUAAACCUGUUUACCCAAGGCCAGUCACCUUAAAAUUAUAAAAAAAAAAAGAGAAAGGCAAGACAAAUAAAAAACAUAAAUGAGAAGAUUAUUUGUCUUUUAUCAAAGACACCAGGGGUUAUCACAGGUGGAGCAGAGCCAGGUACAUCAAAGAAACCUAAUAAGCAGAAGAGGUUGUGAGUUAUGAUGAGGGGAAGAAAGAUGAGAGCAGCCAAAAAAGGAAAGGUUGACAACCUGCAAGAUGAAUUUACAGUUACCUAGUAUGGGGUACAAACAAGGCAGGUUUCUUCUGAUUCCCUCUCUAUUUUUAAUGACUUAUGGCUGCUCCAUGUCUUUCUCCUUUAAAAAAAUAGACUAUUUAUAUUUUGGGCUGUAAUGUGGUAAAAAAAAUAUCACCCUAUUAUAAACUUGAAAAGAAAGAAAUACAUUUGAUCUGUCCCCAAAAUACGCUAUACUGAAAAUUUCUGGGUAGGUCACAUGCAAGUACCAUCAAGACUUGGUCAGGAGCAGAAGAAAAUGACGAGCAGCAGCAGGUAAAGAGGACAAACGUACUUCAUGGUUAAGGCUUUAUAAAGUACUUGGUUGAAUCAUUGUCUAACUGAUCAGCCAGACACAUGUUUAAAGAAAUCCAGCUGUUCUUCCCCUUCUCUCAGAAUAUCAUCAUUUAACAAAAAAAUCAAUUUGCAGAUGCUGUCUGAUUUUGACCAACUUCUAAAGACGAUCCAUAUGCCAUGUCUGCGUCUAUGCGUCUAUGCGUCUAUGGCAUUUUUGCACAAGUUUUGAAACAAUUUCAAAUUAAAUUAAAUUGUCUCAUCCUCACCUCCCAAGCAGUAAUUUGUACUAUUUGUUUAUUCUGCCUUGCAAAAAUAAACAAAUAAAUGAGUAGAAGCUGCAUUCUCUACUCCGGCCUUUCUGACUGUCUUCACAGAUUGAAUUCAUGCCACCGAAUAGGUUAUUUUCUCCUUCCCAUUUGAUGUAAUUUUGAUCCUAAGUACUUAUCUUUCACAUCAAAGUUUGUAAAACCAUUAACAGCAGAGUCGAGAGACUAGUUUGUUCCUAGGAGAGAACGAGCGGGUCCUGUCCAGGUUGUGCCGGCGUCCUGUUCGCGCGCUGCUGACGGACACGGCUCCGCGCCAGCCAGCAGCGCUUGUUCUUCAGCAAGAGUGAAAAAGCAUCAGCUUUCUUGCUCUUUUGAGACGGUGCGUAUUUUAUUGUGAAUAAAAAUGCGGGGUUAGUAUAAACAGCUAAUUUUACAAACAGGUUUUGGGAUUCAUUUUUGGCAUGAUCAGUCUAAGAUCCUUUAAUUCCAGACUAUUACAGCUUCCUGAAGCUGCAUCUAAUGCUAUUUUUUACUGAUGUAAACACAAGAAUUACUGGACCAGAUGCCUGAAAAUACUGAGAAUUUUGUUGUUCAUCAUCAAGUGCAAAACAUUGUGCUUAAUUUUAUAUUUUGUUACAGAAAGUGUUUAGGUCUGGUAUUGAUUUACAAUACUAAUAAUGACAAUUCAAAAAAUUUCAAACCCACCUGAAGGAUUUAGAUGUAAUUUUGCUACUGAAAUACAAUAAAUUGCGUUCCCUAACCAUAAUGACACUUCGAUGUUUCUACAUAAAGCAUCUGAAAAUAUAUUAAGUUAAUGCUGAGUGACUCAGAAAGCACACUAAGUAUUCCCUGACAACUCCAACUACAUAGCCAGCAGGUUAUCAAAAUAACCAGCUACUUUAUGAAACAAUCUUUCCUAUGAGUUUGCUGUGUUGGCUAAAAAACUGCUGUGCUAUAAUGGAAAAAUAUUUCACUGGCACUAUUCUAUAGAUGCUGUACCUUGCUGAACAUAAUUUAUGUUUAUAUUGAAAAACAAUUUAAGAAGCAAAGGUGUGACCGUGUGUCUGUUCUGGAGCAGGACAGCAGAGUGAGCUCAGCACAGCUGGGGACAAGUGCCAGGUGCUCCCCGGUGGCACUUGUUCCUCUGCUGUCUGUGAAUACUCACUGCUCAUCAUUACAUUUCCAAGCAAUGCUUUGAGCAUUACAGAUCGAGGAGCAAGCCUGGGAAGAUAAUGCAGCCAUAGACACUGUGGUGACAACACCAAACUUCAUUUGUUACUUUUCAUAUAUUCCAGCAACCUGCCAUUCCAUGCUUAACACAGAAGGUAACACGUGUUCCAUCCUGUUCAAAUGAUAGGCCAGAGAAUGGGUAAUUUGUGAGAUGCUAUAACUUAAAUGACUUUUUUUUUUUUAAAAAAAAAAAGGUAGCAACAACUGAUUUUUGCCUUCAGACAGCAGAAAUUCUGGAAGAAUUUCUGGAAGAACAGAGGCAACUUAAAGGCAGAGAACAGUGAUUAGGAACACAUUACAACUGCACAAGGAAAUCUUCAGUUCUCUAGCUAGAAAAACCUUCCACCCUUUCUCCCCCAGUAGAUUUUGACCUCUUUCACUGUGAUCACAUGCAGAGGGAAGUAGGCGAACCUGUCUUUAGACAGCUGACUGCAUCAAUCCUUCGCUUUUGUGCGAGUGAUUGGAAGACUGAUAUAAAAUACAUAAACUAGGCUCAAAGUAUAGUUAAAAAUUAAGCAGCUUGAAAAUCAAAAUAUAAAUUAUUCUGCUGUGUGCCUGGUAAAAGCUACACAGGCUUUCAUAUUUCAACAGUCAAACCCUUCUCAAACAGCAAAUGACUCAAUGUAGAAAACAGAAUUAAGUUACCUUUACCGUGAGUGGAGACAUAUGGUCAUCGUCAGCUAGAAUGUGUCCGUUACCCUGUUUUAUUUUAUCAGUACUAAUUCUCUUUGUUUGGUGUAACUUGCUUAUCUACCUGGUGUAUCCACUUGUAAGUCAGCAUAAUAAUUUGGAGAGAUUGCUCUGACUCAGCUGCAGGAACCCAGCAAACACCUCAGAAGGUGACGGUGGAGCAGAAAAGCCCUGUGACACAACGGGCCCUUUGCAGAGAUCCUGGACUAUCUAGGUAUUAUUUGGAUCCUUAUAAUACAAAGAUGUUUAACAACUGGUGCUACAGUCAGUUUGAGAGCGAGCAGUCAUUUCUCAGCUCCUGCCACGCGGCUUACUCUUGUGACUGUCUAACGUAACAUGCUGUUCCGUUCCUUCCUUAGAGCUGCCUGUAACGGAUCCACGUGCGUCGCACAUUCUUGUCCUUCAAGCACUUAACGAAUAACCAGCAGUCUCCAGCAGUGUUCUAGAUUUCACGCUCGGGCACGCACCUCGUAUGGACCUGACUGCAUCUUGGUCAUUAUUUUCCACCUUUUCUGCAGGUAGGGAACCUGAGGAAGCUGCUUCUCCUGCCACCGCCACCUUCCCGCUGGAAGAACUGGACGUUCCAGGCUAUAGAAUAAAUACAGGGCCGGGAAAAGACGAGGGGAAGGCUCUGCUAAGAUAAACCCAUCCCACCGUGCCACCACCUUGGGAAAUCCAGCUAACAGUUUGUGAGCAUAAAGACAUUUCUGCAUAAGUUACAGGAAUAAUUUGUAGAAUUAUGUAUACCUCUUCCCAGUGGUGAAAUUCAAGCUCCAGAGACUAACACUUAGAUUAGAUUUGUCGACAGCAGGGCACUGGUUCCCUCAUUUAAUGCAAUAUUAUUUCUAUAGCAACAGAGAGACAUAUUCAGUGUUUCAUUGCAGAAAACAGAUUGCUCAAAAUGGAAAACAAGGCCCCUGCCCAAAGAGCCUAGGAAAUCAUACUAAGUAAAGAUUAUUUUAGGACAAUUGUAUCUUGGCUUGACCUUUUCUUGGUAGAAGGUCAAAACAACUACCAAAGUAGAGAAAUCCACGAAAAUAAAGUGGGAAUAGGGAGAUUAAUCUCUGUGUGCCCCAGCAGCACCCACCGCCCUGCAGUGCCCCAGACACCCCCUCUGGUAAGGAACAGAUAACAAAGACUACGGAGACAGAGUGAUCGAGAAAAGCCGGAGGCCACUAGAAAACUGCAGUGGCCACUGCAAUAGCAUAACAAAAAAAUCCCCUUUAAUCUCUACCAGGCAGAGAGCUAGCUGUAGUAUUUAAUUACGCAAAUUAUUACAAAGGACAUCUUUAUUUGAUGACAUGUAUUUCUUUAGCUUAGAUAGAGGUUUCUUGUAGGUGAAUGGGAAAAGAAUAUAAUGCCAAGAGGCAAUGUAAAAAAAUAAUUUGGGGAGUGUCAGGGUAGAUGUAGCGGAAAUUAAUUUCUAUUCUGUUUAUCCUGGCACCACGCGCAGCGGCUGUUUUAAAUCCCAAGGUACGCUAUUCUGCCUUUAUGCUACAUUCUGUAAAUGCAGUCUUGCCUGGAGACAAACAGCUCCACAAACUAACAGCCCAUAAAGGGCAGUUUGGUUUUUACGGAAAGCGGGAAAGAGAGAAGUGCUGGUGCAACUGCGCGCCACGCUCUGCAGCUUCCCGCUCCGGCCGCUCCCGAAAGCUGCGCGAUGUCAGCGGAGCACAAAGCUGCCACGGCAGCGUCUCUGCCGCAUGUUGUGUUGCUGCUUGCCUGAGCACUGCCAGUGCUCUGCCCUGCGUUGCCCGAAGCAGCUCACACAGCCUGCCCUCGCUCACCGAAAGAGCACAUUUAAACAAAGUACUUUCAAAGCAUUCUUGCUGAAGCUGGCUUCAGUCAGCAGAAGUAGAUACAAUCCUUUUGCUACUAAUCCACAGCUGCAGUUUACUUUGGGAUUCCACAGAACAGAGCGAGGUGUUGGGUUUGGUUUUUUAAUGCACCAGCUAUAAAAACAACUUGCAGCGCUGUUUACCCCCAAACCGCACCUCUGCAAUUGCCAGUGGCAAUUUUUGCCUCUGAGGCAACUCUUUGCUUACAGUGACCUCCACCAGCACUGGAACAUUUCCCCCGGGUAGUGCAAACGAAAGAUUAGCAAUCAGUUAACAAUAGCACCCACUGUUCUCCUGCUGUUAGAGGAAGGGGGCUACAGUGGCCUUCCAGGUGGUGUCCCAGGCAAUCCAACCGCUUUCAGCCAUCACAGCUGUUGGUCAGAAAUUCACACCGGAGAAGCCCAUCAGAGGUCAGUCCCUCAGUAUUUUACGUGAUGCUGCUGCAUUUGAGCAUUUCAGCACGGCUUGGACUGGAGGAUCUUCAGAGGCCUCUUCCAAGCCCUGCUGUGAUUCUGCACAGGACCAGCUCAGGACCAGCUCAGGCGCGUCCAGGGUGAGGCUGCAACUUAACAACAUGGCAAAAUGGAGAGCAAUCAUGUCCUGCAUUUCUAAAUCACUCAGUCUCAGUAUUUCAAUGUAUCUUAAAAGUGUCCCAAACUUAAGCGGAGUUGCAAACACAAUAUUUGAAGGAAAUCACAAAUUUUCAGUUUGAAAAAGAAGAAAGUUAAAAAGAAAAUUAUUUAAACAUGAGCUGUUAUGUGACCGACACUCUUGAAAAACCCUGAUACAAUAACUGGAAUCUGCCUGGCAAUUAACCCAAGAGACUGAUGAUAAAGAGAAGGCAGGAGCUGAACUGUAGAUUGUAAUGCUAUACAAAACAUCACAUAGAAAUAGUAACUAAAUUUGAUAAAAGCAAAAUGAAAAAUGUCAAAACACCACCAAUGCAAAUGGAAUUUAUAAAAAAAUUGGGCCCAUUCCUUCUGUAAUUUAUUAUAAUAUUAGGAGAAUUACUGUGACUUCAGAAGACAAGAGGCAAUGACGACUGUUAUAAAUAAAAGACAGAUUGGUGUAAUGCCUUACAGUGCGUUACAGUUGCUUUAAUCAAAGAGUCUAAUUAUUUUGUGCUCUUUCCUGUUCCUGAGAUGUUUGGGGGUUGUGUUUGGUUUUUGUGUGGUUGUGGGGUUCCCCCCCCACCCCUUUUCAUUUUUUCUUUUCAUGACUGAAAAGAUCUGUCAGGCCACCCGGUCCCGUCUUACUAACUCCUGUUAGGCUGUGCUCUUCCUUGGGCCUGGUUUUAAAGUCUCCCCUGUAGCACCUGCCAUCAUGAAGUCACGCAACACACGGCGGCAUUCCAAACAACCGCAUGCACACGUGUUCAUAAACCCGGGAUGGUCAUGCUCUGAAACAGGUCUUUCUGUCAGUCUGGGCUGUAAUAACCUGUCUCCUCUCUCUCGUUCCAGCAUAUGUAUUUCUAACAUCCAAACAGCCUCAAAACAAUUUUACGAUGUGCAAAAAAUUAUUACACAGUUUAAAAUAGUGUAACUAUGACUGUAUUCGCUACUGGACAAACUGACUACUCAGUCUGACUUGAUAAAGAACCUCAUGUCAUUAGUUCCACUGCAAAGCGGGAACUGAAAUACUCGUUAGUCUACAGCUGGAAGCGAUUCCUGGUGCAUUAGAAACAAGUAAUAAUCUGAGAUGCAGAAAGUGACCACACUGAAGAAUCUUCCUGCAUGAAAACACAAAUUAAAUUAGAGCUCUGGGCACUGAAACAAGAAGAAAAUUUAACUCCAGCUUUAGCUAAUAAUUAAGAAUUAUUACAUUAAAGCAAUGACAAAACCCCCAAAGCGAACAGGGCUGCCUGUUUGGGCUCAGCUGCUCCCAGAGUCAGGACAGCAAAUGCCAACGUUGUUCUGAGUGUCGGGCACACAGGUGCCCACUGAACAGCCCGGUUUGUGUCAUUUACUGUUCACUCUGCUGUGAAAACGGGAAUUAUGCUUCACUUUGGCACAACUCUGCUCCCCUCAUCCCCCCGCGUGUCGGGGCUGUCACAGCGGGCACAGGCCACCGCCUCGGCCCUGCUCCCAUCAAAUCACCACAGGCAGGAAAACCGACCACAACACUGCAGGAGUAAUAACAACAAGAUUAAUAAAAAGAAGCUGAAGGUACAAAAGUCUUGUUUCCAAUAACUGUUCGUUUUUCAGAGACCUUCUUCAAACACCUUCUUCAAACAACUGCUGUGAGAACGUUACAGCUCUCGGAAGCUUCCAUCAUAUUUACAGUUCCGUAUUAAGUACUUACAGCAUGACUUUGAAACACUAGUCCCUUAAUUCUGAUGAAACUGUCCUGUUAAACUGAGAAAUAUUCAAGUCAGUGUGUACAAUUGCUUAAGAAGAGAUGCACUUUUCCUGGCGUCCAAGGCAUCGCCUCCCCUGACCAAGCCACCUUUGCUACCAGAACGAGGACAGAACAGACAGUAUCAGCGCGGGUCAGCGGUUCAGACAGACCACAAAGGGGCUUGGCCAGUUGUGUCUGUGCUCUGUGCUCGCGCUGCCCCGGGUGCUCAGAGCAGAGCUCACGGUCCCAACGGGCUCCAGACGGGAAUUAUCCCGCCCAGCCCUGCCCAGGAACACCACGUCACCCUCCACUGACCACAGAGACUUGGCCGCUUGGAAAAGACUUGGGUCAGCUUGAUUAAUUGAGUCAAAGUGACGUGGGCUAGAUCUCCUGCCACCAGCUUCCAAGGGAGAAGAAGAAAAUACGAUUCAGAAGGACGGAAAGGCCUGCAGAUGUGCCUUUUAAAAAGCAAACACUUCUCAACCAGAAAGACAGUUCUAGUCGCCUCGUCCAGCCAGACCUGCAAAACCCAGAGCACUGACAUCGUCAGGUUCCUCCUGACAAACAGCAGGUCCAACUCCAAGAGAACAAAGGAGGCAACGAAGAUUCCACCACAGAUAUAUUUACUGUACAAGGUGCCACAAAACUAACUCCCUGUAGAUGUCCACUCCAUUGUACACAUUUUCAACUGUUCACACAGAAGCUGAAGUGCUAAAGCUGAGAAUAUGAUACGCUAAACUAAAACUUUCUGGGUUGUUAAAAAAGCGAGAAAAGAAAUAAUUUGACUUUAAGAGAUUAAGUUUUUACUACAACACGGAGAAAAAUCUAACUAGGCUUCCAUAUAUAUAUAUAUAUAUAUAUAUAUAUAUAUAUAUAUAUAUAUAUAAAAUUUAGUACUACAUUUUCAGUACUCGUACUGAAUCUAAUACUUGUACUGAUACUUGUAUCAUAAAAGUAUAUGAUUCGAGACAAUUGUCUAAUUAAUUACAUCUCAAAGAUUUUCAUAUAGAGAGUUCUUGUCAACAGGAUUCCUUAGUUCAGCUCUGGACUGGACUAGAGAUUAUGGUCUAAAGGAAAAAUAAGUAUCUGUGUGCUGAAUAUUAAAUAUUUGCUUCUGACGGUCCCGUGGUUUCUUCACAAUCCAAGACUGCAACGCAUUGUCAAACGUGCAUGGAAAACACCGCAGGUUUCCCCGCUCGUGGGUUGAUUAGAGCAAACUUCACACUAAGCAGUUUGGAGGCUUUGAAUGUUCCAUUAGUUUAUGCCAGAAUUACUAGAAUUUUACUAGAAUUACUAUAAAAUGUUUAUUUAUGCAGCCAUAGUGACAUUUCUUGAACUAGGUAUUAUUGGAAAUAAUGUGCUACUUACCCAAAUUCUUAGACAAUAUUAACAUUAGCGUAAGAGUCUGGAGAAGAAAACAGCUAAGAAUCCUUUUCCUUUGGGCUCCAUCCUACCCAGCACAUCAAAGCUUUUGAUCAGUUGCAAUAGCAGAAGAAAUGGCUGCAGUGAGUUUAUUUAGAGUAAGCUACCUUCUUGUCAGGAAAUUGGGCUAAACUUAAACACUGCUCAUGUUAUGUGAGAUGACAGUACCAAAAAAAGCCCAUUGAUGAGUCAGUGACGUAUUAAAAAAUUACCUUGCAUUCAACAAAUAACAUUUUUACCUGAUUCCAUACAAACAUUUCCAAGCCACCGCUGCUGCUUUGCACUUGGAAGGUCAACCUGGGCCUUUUCCACCUGGUGCUGUGUUACAAACCCCCUAACAGAGGUGCAGGAGCUGGGACUGAGCUGCCAGUUCUGCUGGAGCUGUGCGGGACAGCGGGACACGGUGGAGCCGCGUGGGACAGAGGGACACGGCGGAGCUGUGCGGGACAGAGGGACACGUUGGAGCUGUGCGGG
Columba livia (rock pigeon) is the source of this 11710-nucleotide long non-coding RNA. RefSeq lists it as uncharacterized. The transcript is spliced from 4 exons. The record is from RefSeq and is a predicted model, not a curated record. Lineage: Eukaryota; Metazoa; Chordata; Aves; Columbiformes; Columbidae.